GUGAUAUAAACACGCUUAUUCUCUUCGUGCACCUUAAACCCUAAUUUAAAUAUCCUAUCAUUCUGGCCGUUUCACUUCGUUUCGCAAAGAAGAUAUCGAUCGUUCAUCCCCACAAACCCGAAUUUCAUCAACAAUCAUCAGGCAUGAGCAUAAUUUGGUGUAAAUCUUUGAUUCUUGCUUCCAAUUUAUGAUUCUCGAGGUAACAUAGUUGGAUUCACACCCAUCUCGCAAAUCCGGAUCGUAUCAUUUUUCUCAAACGUACAAGCUAACUUCUCUCAAACCCUAAAUCCGAAGACGCCAUUCAUCUUCAGCCGUUCAUCAUUGAUUCAAGUUUGAUAAACAAAGAUUUCAAGAUCAAUUCUACAAGGAAUAACACAUGUAAAGACAUUGCAACAUCCGUUACUAAGAAACCCUAAAGGGAGAGAAGCUAUAUUUGUAUAUCAAGAAUAUGUGUUGAUACGGAUUAGGCAGGGAGGAUUAGGAGGUGGUGUUGCCUCAGGGGUUUUGUUGAAAGGGGAUGACAAAAGAAGACGGUAAUGAUUUUGUUUUCUGUUCAUGUGAGGGUGGGGAAUUCUCAGAUCCGCCAUUUAUGGUGGUCUUUUCCCAGCUGGUGGUAUUGUUCAAAUUGUUGUGGUGGCUGGAGGUGGGGCUUGGUUGAAUAAGAGAUAGAUAAAGCACCGAUUACAGAGACCUUGAGCACAAGGGGUUGCACUCCUUGGUGGAUUCCGUUUGUCUUCUACACGCGGAUUCUUUUGAGUCUGGCCCGGUUUAAUUCGAUAAUCUUCGUUGUGACAGUGGGCUGUUCAGAUGGAGCAGCGGCGGUCGCCAAAAAGUGACACCCGACGAUUGAAUACGGAGCAACGUUUCAGGUGGUUUCUAGACCCUAUCGAGUUGUUAAAAGCUUUGGUGUGAUUUGGUGAUGAGAGGCCAUCACUCGUGUUCAAUUUAUAGGUAUUUAGGGGCUGUGUGGAUGGUUAAAAAGUCCUGAAAGGACAGCGGUAAUGGCUCUCAAAACUAGACAACAAAGUCACACUUUUAGGCGUGAUUUCGAGACAGCAUUGUGAGGUACAAUGCAGCAGUGAGUUGGGAUCUUUUGCAGUCGUUCGAGAGGUGCUUCACGGUCCGAAACUCUCUACAAACAACCACGACAAGUGUUGGUAAGGGCUGCCAAAACAGAUCGAGAACGUGAAGAAAACCAUGAUUGCGAUUUUCAUUUUUCCAUUCAGGUGUUGAACGAAAAAGUGGUUUUCUAAAAUAUAAGUUCUUCAGUAUGAUUUAGAUUUUGGUAAAGGUAAAGAAUACAUAUAUAUUUACAUAUAAUAAAUGACUAGGUUUCCAAGAACAUAAUCCGUUAGAAGUAAGAUUUCCUGUGCAAGUUUUAUGAUCAUUAGCUAAUUUUGGUUAACUAUACCAGUCUUAUAUUUUUUUUAUUAAUUGCUUAGGGGCGAAUAUGUUUCUGAACUUGAAGAGAGGAAUAAUGAGGUAACUCAGUUACGGGUAAAGGUUGAAAGCUUUACUAUGCAAGAGAAUACAUUGGAUGAAAGAAUGAGGCAGAAAAGGUCUGUUUAGUGGCGUCAUGGUUUAGACAUGGGUUGGAUGGAAUUACGUGGGGUAUGGUGCUGGAAAAGACAGGUAUUAACUCACGAUGAAGCUGUUGAACUGCAGAAAAUGAUGGUUGUUCUGCUGAAUGUAUGCAUGUCUUUAACUAAGGAUCGCUGUUAAUGGGGUCUUCACUCAUCAACCGAUUGAAUAUAAAAAAAAUUAAGUAGAGACGAUGAAUUCAUCAAGUGAAGUCUCUGAAUUUUGCUUGAUCUAUAUUAUCUCAUAUUUACAUUUGUUGUUGUAGUUUGAGUGAGAAUGUUGUGUGUAGAGAUUCUAAGUGAUAUUACAGAAUUAAACUCUCUUACUU
Molecule: long non-coding RNA, 1909 nt
Filed under: Helianthus annuus (common sunflower)
Lineage: Eukaryota; Viridiplantae; Streptophyta; Magnoliopsida; Asterales; Asteraceae
Description: hypothetical non coding rna
Source: RNAcentral